AGAACGAACGCUGGCGGCAGGCUUAACACAUGCAAGUCGAACGCGUGUAGCAAUACACGAGUGGCGCACGGGUGAGUAACGCGUGGAUAUCUGCCUUUUGGUUCGGAAUAACUCCGGGAAACUGGAGCUAAUACCGGAUGGUUCCUACGGGAUAAAGAUUUAUCGCCAAAAGAUGAGUCCGCGUACGAUUAGCUAGUUGGUGAGGUAAUGGCUCACCAAGGCGACGAUCGUUAGCUGGUCUGAGAGGACGAUCAGCCACACUGGGACUGAGACACGGCCCAGACUCCUACGGGAGGCAGCAGUGGGGAAUAUUGGACAAUGGGGGCAACCCUGAUCCAGCCAUGCCGCGUGAGUGAUGAAGGCCUUCGGGUUGUAAAGCUCUUUUGGCGGGGACGAUGAUGACGGUACCCGCAGAAUAAGCCCCGGCUAACUUCGUGCCAGCAGCCGC
This 448-nucleotide ribosomal RNA is filed under the name uncultured bacterium. Its description in RNAcentral is "SSU rRNA". It matches the Rfam family "Bacterial small subunit ribosomal RNA", at positions 26 to 518 of the family's 1533-position model. The record is from RNAcentral.